UGUGAACUCGAAGAGUAGGGCGGGACACGUGGUAUCCUGUCUGAAUAUGGGGGGACCAUCCUCCAAGGCUAAAUACUCCUGACUGACCGAUAGUGAACCAGUACCGUGAGGGAAAGGCGAAAAGAACCCCGGCGAGGGGAGUGAAAAAGAACCUGAAACCGUGUACGUACAAGCAGUGGGAGCACCUUCGGGUGUGACUGCGUACCUUUUGUAUAAUGGGUCAGCGACUUAUAUUCUGUAGCAAGGUUAACCGUAUAGGGGAGCCGCAGGGAAACCGAGUCUUAACUGGGCGUUAAGUUGCAGGGUAUAGACCCGAAACCCGGUGAUCUAGCCAUGGGCAGGUUGAAGGUUGGGUAACACUAACUGGAGGACCGAACCGACUAAUGUUGAAAAAUUAGCGGAUGACUUGUGGCUGGGGGUGAAAGGCCAAUCAAACCGGGAGAUAGCUGGUUCUCCCCGAAAGCUAUUUAGGUAGCGCCUCGUGAAUUCAUCUUCGGGGGUAGAGCACUGUUUCGGCUAGGGGGUCAUCCCGACUUACCAACCCGAUGCAAACUACGAAUACCGAAGAAUGUUAUCACGGGAGACACACGGCGGGUGCUAACGUCCGUCGUGAAGAGGGAAACAACCCAGACCGCCAGCUAAGGUCCCAAAGUCAUGGUUAAGUGGGAAACGAUGUGGGAAGGCACAGACAGCCAGGAUGUUGGCUUAGAAGCAGCCAUCAUUUAAAGAAAGCGUAAUAGCUCACUGGUCGAGUCGGCCUGCGCGGAAGAUGUAACGGGGCUAAACCAUGCACCGAAGCUGCGGCAGCGACACUAUGUGUUGUUGGGUAGGGGAGCGUUCUGUAAGCCUGCGAAGGUGACCUGUGAGGGUUGCUGGAGGUAUCAGAAGUGCGAAUGCUGACAUAAGUAACGAUAAAGCGGGUGAAAAGCCCGCUCGCCGGAAGACCAAGGGUUCCUGUCCAACGUUAAUCGGGGCAGGGUGAGUCGACCCCUAAGGCGAGGCCGAAAGGCGUAGUCGAUGGGAAACAGGUUAAUAUUCCUGUACUUGGUGUUACUGCGAAGGGGGGACGGAGAAGGCUAUGUUAGCCGGGCGACGGUUGUCCCGGUUUAAGCAUGUAGGCUGGUUGUCCAGGCAAAUCCGGAUAAUCAAGGCUGAGGUGUGAUGACGAGGCACUACGGUGCUGAAGUAACAAAUGCCCUGCUUCCAGGAAAAGCCUCUAAGCAUCAGGUAACAU
RNAcentral lists this ribosomal RNA (1234 nucleotides) under Klebsiella pneumoniae. RNAcentral describes it as "partial 23S ribosomal RNA". It matches the Rfam family "Bacterial large subunit ribosomal RNA", at positions 398 to 1637 of the family's 2925-position model. Lineage: Bacteria; Pseudomonadati; Pseudomonadota; Gammaproteobacteria; Enterobacterales; Enterobacteriaceae. The record is from RNAcentral. RNAcentral also lists the same sequence under 2 other names.